Ornithorhynchus anatinus (platypus) is the source of this 138-nucleotide non-coding RNA. NCBI's taxonomy places the organism in Eukaryota, Metazoa, Chordata, Mammalia, Monotremata, Ornithorhynchidae. The record is from Rfam.
CCCCUCUCAGGGACGCAUCUGGAGAUUUCCCAGUAGUCUACCAGCCUCGGCUAUGGGAGGGAGAGUCGAGCAGAGGCCUACCCAUUCCAUUCCUAGCUUGGCCAGUGGCUAGCGAGUGGAACGCAAUCUGUUACAAGU